RNAcentral lists this long non-coding RNA (121 nucleotides) under Ictidomys tridecemlineatus (thirteen-lined ground squirrel). RNAcentral describes it as "lncRNA (ENSSTOG00000032326.1)". Lineage: Eukaryota; Metazoa; Chordata; Mammalia; Rodentia; Sciuridae. The record is from RNAcentral.
GCCUUGGAAUCUGCAUUCUAACAAGUUCCAUGUGGUUCUUCUGAUGCAUACCUGCAACCCUAAGCUCAGGGAUUGUACCCUGCCACCUCUGUGGAGAACCAUCAGUUCUUGAUUUCCAAAC